Molecule: ribosomal RNA, 253 nt
Filed under: uncultured bacterium
Lineage: Bacteria
Description: partial 16S ribosomal RNA
Rfam family: Bacterial small subunit ribosomal RNA
Source: RNAcentral
UACGGAGGGUGCGAGCGUUGUCCGGAAUCACUGGGCGUAAAGGGCGCGUAGGCGGCGAGGAUAGUCAACGGUGAAAGCUUGGGGCUCAACCCCGAGUCGGCCGUCGAUACUUCCUUGCUUGAGCACUGUAGAGGCAGAUGGAAUUCCGGGUGUAGCGGUGGAAUGCGUAGAGAUCCGGAAGAACACCGGUGGCGAAGGCGGAUCUCUGGGCCUUACCUGACGCUCAGGUGCGAAAGCUAGGGGAGCGAACAGG